This 358-nucleotide long non-coding RNA is filed under the name Sorghum bicolor (sorghum). RNAcentral describes it as "long non-coding RNA (SBIC_LNC006606)". The record is from RNAcentral. Lineage: Eukaryota; Viridiplantae; Streptophyta; Magnoliopsida; Poales; Poaceae.
GUGGUUUUCUCAUUGAGUCAAAGAUUAUCAACUGGUUCUUGGGAAUUUCAAUGACCAUGAGUAUCCAUUGAAAGCUGUUUACACACACAUAUAUAUAGUCAGGCCUAUAAUGUAAAAUAAAAUAUGCAUGCACUUAAUAACUAUAUAACUCACUCGAAGCUGAAGGGGAAGAGUAUUUUUUGUUUUUCUUUUUGGUUCACAAAGAACCUCAUAAGAUUGGUGCAGACUUCUGUCUCAUGAGCUGCUGUCCACACUGCCUGUAGAGCCUUGAAAACAAUAUAACGGUCAACGAACCCAAUACUAUUGUCAUUUCUCAUUCUGAGCUCUCUCAUUUGGUGCCUGCAUAUAUACAUACAAA